GACGAACGCUGGCGGCGUGCUUAACACAUGCAAGUCGAACGGAAACGCCCUGCUUGCAGGGUACUCGAGUGGCGAACGGGUGAGUAACACGUGGGUGAUCUGCCCUGCACUUCGGGAUAAGCCUGGAAAACUGGGUCUAAUACCGGAUAGGAGCCAUUUUUCGUGUGAGGGUUGGAAAGUUUUUUCGGUGUAGGAUGAGCUCGCGGCCUAUCAGCUUGUUGGUGGGGUAAGGGCCUACCAAGGCGGCGACGGGUAGCCGGCCUGGGAGGGUGGACGGCCACAUUGGGCCUGGGAUACGGCCCAGACUCCAACGGGAGGCAACGGUGGGGAAUAUUGCACAAUGGGCGCGAGCCUGAUGCAGCGACGCCGCGUGGGGGAUGACGGCCUUCGGGUUGUAAACUCCUUUCGCUAGGGACGAAGCUUUUGUGACGGUACCUAGAGAAGAAGCACCGGCUAACUACGUG
Molecule: ribosomal RNA, 464 nt
Filed under: uncultured bacterium
Lineage: Bacteria
Description: partial 16S ribosomal RNA
Rfam family: Bacterial small subunit ribosomal RNA
Source: RNAcentral